UUUCUGUGGUAUCGGCUGUAACUUCUCUCUUUCAUUUCUGAUUUUAUUUAUUUGAGCCCUGUCUCUUUUUUCUUGGUGAGUCCAGCUAACGAUUUGUCCAUUUUCUUAAUCUUUCCAAAGAAACAGGUCUAGUUUCAUUGAUCUUUUUGAUUGUCUUUUAGUUUUUUCAUUUAUUUCCACGCUGACCUUAAUUAUUUACUUCCUUCUACUAACAUUGGGCUUCAUUUGUUCUUCUUUUUCUAGCUCCUUCAGGUGUAAAGUUAAAUAGUUUAUUUGGGAUUUUCUUGUUUCUUAUGGUAGGAUGUAUUGCUAUGAACUUCCCUCUACUUUUGCUACAUCCCAUGGAUUUUGAUACGUCAUAUUUCUGUUGUCAUUUACCACUAGGAACUUUUUAAUUUUUUCUAUGACCAAGUAGUUUUCUCGGUACCAUGUUGUUUAAUCUGUACAUAUUUUUAGUUUUUAGUUUUCCUCUUGUAUUUGACCUCUAGUUUCAUACCACUGUGGUUGGAAAAGAUGCUUGACACGAUUUCAGACUUCUUGAACUUUCUGAGAUUUGUUUGGUGGUCUAACAUGUGAUCUGUUCUGGAGAAUGUUCCAUGUGCAUUUGAGAAGAAUGUGUAUUCUGCUGCUUUUGGAUAGAAUAUUCUGCAUUUAACUAUUAAGUCCAUCGGGUCUAAUGUGUCAUUUAGGGUCAAUGUUUUCUUACUGAUUUUCUGUCUGGGUGAUCUAUCCAUUGAUGUAAGUAGGGUGUUAAAGUCCCCAAUUAUUAUUGUAUUACUGUCAACUUCUACCUUUAGAUCUGUUAAUAUUUGCUUUGUCUAUAUUGGUGCUUCUAUGUUGGAUGCAUAUUUAUUUAUAAAUAUUAUAUCUUAUUGCUGGAUUGAUCCCUUUAUUAUUAUGUAAUGCUUAUCUUUGUCUUUUAUUAUAGUCUUUGGCUUAAAGUCUAUUUCAUCUAAGUAUAGCUAUAAUAGCUUUCUGUUUCCAUUUUCAUGGAAUAUCUUUUUCCAGCCCUUCACUUUUAGUGUUUGUGUGUCCUUACUCUGAGGUGAGUCUCUUGUAGGCUGUAUACAGAUGUGUCUUGUUCUUUUAUCCAUUCAGCCACUCUGUCUUUUGAUUGAAGAAUUUAGUCCAUUUACACUUAAAGUAAUUAUUUAAAGGUAUGCAUUUUUUGGCAUCUUGUUAAUUGUUUUCUGGGUGCUUUUGCAAUUCCUGUUUCCUCCUUCUUUUUCUCUGUUCUCUUGUGGUUGGAUGAUUUUCUUUAGUACUACAUUUACAUUCAUUUCUCAUUUUCUUUUGUGUAUUUACUAGAAGUUUUUACUUUGUGGUUAUUGUGAGGUUCACAUAUAUCACCUUUUGUAUACAAUGGCCUGUUUUAAGUUAAUAACAACUUAAAUUUGAACACUUUCCAAAACUCUUCAUCCAGUCUGCUGUUGACCCCUUGAGAGUAUUUUUCAGUUCAUUAUUGUAUUCUUCAGCUCUGUGACUUCUGUUUGGCAGUUUCUUAUGUCUUUUAUGUCUUUGUUGAAGUUCUCACUGUGUUCAUCUGUUCUCCUAAAUUCAAUGAGCAUCUUUAGAAACAUUAUUUGAAUUCUUUAUCAAGUAGAUUACCUAUCUCCAUACCUCCAUUUCUGAGGUCUUGUCUUGUUCUUUCACUGGGAACAUAUUUCUGUUUCUUUAUUUUGCUUGACUCUCUGUGUUUUGUUUCUUCUUUUUAAUGUUUAUUUAUUUUUUAGAGAGAGAGAGAGAAUGGGGAAGGGGAUGAGAGAGAGGGAGACACAGAAUCUGAAGCAGCCUCCAGGAUCUGAGCUGUCAGCACAGAGCUCUAUGUGGGGCUUGGACUCAUGAGCCCAUGAGAUCAUGACCUGAGCUGAAGUUGGAUGCUCAACUGGCUGAGCCACCCAGGUGCCCCUCUGUGUUUUAUUUCUGAUAGGUGAAACAGCCACCUCUCUCACUCUUGAAACAGUGGACCUGUGUAGGUGAUGAACCUUCUCAUUAGACCUCCCCUAGUUCUUGGUUGUCUCUUUAACCUUUGUGAUUGUCUACACUUAUUCUUAGUAGGUCCCCACUAUUGACGAUGUGCCAAGACAUGUCCAUGUUCCAAGGGGAGGAAUCUCAUUUAGCACCUAGUUUCAGGUGGACUGGAAGCCAGACCCUCGGGCAGCAACUUUUAAUAUAUGCAAAUAUAUACACCCAGUGAGAUCAUAAUCCCUGCUGGCCUCCAUACCGGGAGACCUAGAGGUGUCCACUGAGUGACAGUUAUAAAAAUCCAGACUCCACAUGACUGUAUAAGCUCCUUUCUGGGAGGUCUUGUCAAGCUGUAGUGAGGCCAAGGCAGUGAGAGAGGAUGGUGUCUCUUGCUUAUGUUCUCUGCCUCCUUAGCCUGCAGAUAUGUGGGAAACCUGAAGCCUGUCCCUCAGGAAGCUCCUGGCUAAGUAAAUAUACUUUUUUUUUUCACAGGAAGACCGGGGUUGUGUUUCAGUCUGUUGUCUGUGCAGUGUCCUGGCGGUGGAGAUCUGUUGAGAACUAUCUUUCUAAUUGUUACUUUCCCAGGGGAGCUCAGGAAUGCCAGCCUUCUUGGUCACCAGGGCCAGGAGAUCAAGGGGCAUCCCCUGUGUGGACUGCACGUACAUGGAGGCUUUAGCUGGGCAGCAGGAGAAUGUAGAAGUUGGGGCACACUCCCUGGCUUCAGAAAGGUGGUGGGAAAAUAAAUUCCCUGAUGGCACGUGUGCCCAUAGGCUUUAGGAAUGCAGUGGGAGAGUGGUUUGUCUGUGAGAUGAGACAGAAGGAUGCUACCACCACUGCUUAUACUCGUCAGCCUAAGCCCAGGGAUUGAGGGAAGUGUCACUCGUAUCCAAACUGGCCGACUUUAGCUAGCUGACGGGAGGUUGCAUCAACCCUUGGUACUAACCUGGCUUUGGAAAGGCGGUGGGACGGUACCACAGCCACCUGCCCAUGCUUCACUCAGCAAGGUGGUGGGAGGGUGCCACUUCCAAGCUCGUCAGCCUCUCCAUCUCCGGGGAGAGUUUCAACUAUUCCCUGACCCUGCAGCGGAUGCUGCUGGAUUAGCAAAUGCCUUUUCCUUCACACAUAAUCCAGGCGCUCUCCCAUCUGCAAUUUUUUCCGCUGGGUCGUUGGACAAGUGAGACCACGGCAAGCACUUUAAAAGGGGAAUCUCAGUGUCCUGUAGCACUUUGGGUCUCUUGGACAUCAGCCCCAUUGGUUUUCUUUUCUUUUUUUUAAUGUUUAUUUAUUUUUGAGACAGAGACACAACAUGAACAGGGCAGGGGCAGAGAGAGAGGGAGACACAGAGUCUGAAGCAGGCUCCAGGCUCUGAGCUGUCAGCACAGAGCUCAAUGCGGGGUUCGAACCCACAACCUGUGAGAUCAUGACUUGAGCUGAAGUUGGACGCCCAACCGACUGAGCCACCUAGGCGCCCCAGCCCCAUUGGUUUUCUAAGCCAGAUGUUUUGGGGACUCAUCUGUCUGGUGCAGGUCCCAGGGGUUGGAGAUGUGGGGUACCCACCCCUCGCUCUGCUCCUCCAGGAGAGGCAUCUGUUCUGCCUCCUGGUCUGUGACAUCCCUUCUCAUUGCACAUCUCUAUGCUGGGGGUGAGGUUUUGCUGAGGCCACAUCUCUGCCCUUUCUACCUGUCUUGAUGUAGUCUUUUUAUCCUUUGUUGUAGAAAAAGAGCUCAUCCACUUUUCAGCUCUCCUUCAGAAGGAAAUGACCCGUGUGUAGCUGCAGGAUUGGUGUGUCCAUGGGAGACGCUUCUGCCUGCCACAUUCUUCUGCUCUCCCAAAUCAGUCAAGGUUACAAGUACCAGGAAUCUGAACACUAAUCGAGGAUGGGUGUUAUUCCUCCACGGAAACCACUCCCCUGUCUACCUUUGCCAUAAACACCACGUCCAAUAGAAUCAAGAACGGCCUUCCAUGUUAAACGUCCUCGAAUGUUGGAGUUGAGAACCUCUUAGGUAGCUAUAUAAGAUUUUUAAAGGGACGCAACUCAAAUCUGAGAAAGAACAAUAAAAGCGAUUUUAGAAGGGUUUCUCCAGCAGCACCAGAAGAUCUGUACCCCACACAUACAGAAAAGCAGCCCACAGCUUCCCUUCUUAACUCCGUUACGGUGUCGGCGAGUGGCCACGUCAGGCCCGGGCACAGGUGCUCGCCGGGCAGAAGCAAGGUGGCCUCGCACACGUCCCAGGCAGGCCGCUGCAGCAGGAGAGAGGGAAGCAGCUGUCGGGGAAACUGGGCAUCAGGGAUGUACCAGAGGCAAGCCAGCCCCUGCCAGCCUCCCUCUUCGCAAGGCUGGCUUUUGUUUCGGGCACAGGUUGGCUUUCCACACCUGUGAGUCAGGCGUGGGGGUAAAGAGCAGCACUUUAUAAAGGAAGCACCCGCGGGACGAGGUGGGGAGGCAUCUCAUCUCUCUUCGUUCCCACUGGCUGAGGCAGAAGCUUCUCUGUGGACCAGCAAGCUCCCGGCUGUUCCCAUCUCACGCUAUUGGCCUCAACCCCCCGGGUAAGGGAGGAAGAGAGCCGGCUGCAUUUGGUAAAGCACAAUUCCCUUGUUACGUGCCACAUCCUGAGGUUACAAAGCAUGGGAGUGGAGGUGGAAAUAAUCGGAAUUACUUAAAAAUAUGUCACAUGCUCAAGGACUCCACUCAGGCAGUUGCAGAGUUUCAAAGCUGAAUUGAUCUCUGCACGGUUUUCCAGUUAAGUGCCUUCGUUUUACAGGUGAGGACGCCCAGAGAGGCAAAGAAACCCAUGUAAGGUCACCCAGCAAAUUCACGUAAGGUCAGCACAAGAGCUUCCUGGGUCCUUGGGUUAUCUUGCCUGAUGAUAUGGAGAAGCAGUGGGCUUUUCCUUUUCACCUGGGAGCCGGACUUCUCCAAAUAACUAGGGGGAGGUACGCGUGUUUCACACAUGGGGUUGCGAAAUGAGCAUGCAUUUGGGAUGCCGAGUGGGGGUGGGGGAGCCCCCUUCACAGAGCAGGCUGGUCUUGUCUGCCAGCCUGAUAACCAGAGGAAACCUCAGGACAUGCCAUUCUCAGCUUUUAGCACCCAAAUGAGCAAAGGCUUCAAGAGGAGCCACGGUUUGUGGAAACACGGCUGGAAACACCACUCCUCUCUGAGCUCUCUGGAAUUGCAGCUGGGAAUUCCCAGGGUCCCAGAGCGACUGUUACCAUAACCUCCCAACAGGGUGUAAGAGUCCACUGCACGAUAAUUCUGGCUGCCUCCCAAAUGGAACGACAUCGAAGCUUUUCCCAACUUUAACAGAAACGGGGGUGCGGAGCGAAGUUCCCCUCGAAACCUGAAAUGGUCACCUCGGGUGUGGCCCGAGCACCUUCAGACGAGGGCAGCAGGGAUGAGCAUCCUGUUGCGUACCAGCCAUCGAGCCAGGACCCCGGCACAGACAGUCCCUGCAAGCCAGGAUCACGCUCUGCGCACAUGCACAGAGGAGUUAGAGAUGACGGCUGGAUAAGGGAACAAUAAUCUGUGUGAUUCCCGGGGGUCUGAGGCUGUUCUUUCAGCCCCUGGAUGUCUGCCUGAACACAUCUCUCCAGGACAGAAUCAGAACCAUGUGGGAAGGAAGGAUGAGUUCAGGGACAGGAGCAAAGGGAGGGCAAGGGUGCACGCGGGUGUCGCCGAUGAGAACUCUGGUCGGAAGAUGCCACAUGACCCGCCUGCUGACCACAUGGGCAAAGGUUUUGAGGGUCCCUUGGGCAAGGCUGAUGCACACUUGGUGGCAGCCCUCCUCCCAAAUCCUUCCGUUAUCACGGCAGGACCAGGAGGGCCCGGGGGAAAGGGUUUGGGCCGCAGAAUCCGAUGGGCCCGAGUUUGAAUUCGGCCUUUGCCCCAGCCCGUUGAGUGACCUUGGCCAAGACUUAGUUUCCACAUGUGUGAAAGGGAAUUCACAAUCACACCCUCCCAAGCCUGCUGUGAAGGUAAAAGGAGAAAAAUGCAUGGGGAGUGCUUGGCAUAGAGUAAGUGCUCAGCAAAUGAAGACAGGAGCCAACAUUUAUCGAGAGAUUACUAUGUGCCAGGCACUCUGGCCAAGGUGCCAGGACACGGGGAUAACAAAGACUGGCUCAGCAUCUGCCUCUGGAACUUACAGUCUAAAGAACUUGGGCUGGCUGGCAAGCCGUGCUACAUCCCUGGGCAUCACUAUGAACACAUCUUUACUGGUCAAUAUGAAUGAAUUCCUGCGCUCUGUUUUCCUUGAUGCUCGUUCUCAGAAAACAACCCCUUAUCCUGUGGCAGAACCGACAAUGUUAUUUCUAUUGAGAUAACCGUUUUGUGCUAUUAGCCUCAUCACCAUCAUCGCCACAGCUCAUCAUUAAGCACUUACUACCCACCAGGCCUUUUGCUCAGCCCCUUACAUGGAUUCGUUCAUCCACUUGCAAGAGCAUCCUUUGCAAGCAGCACCACUGCUCUUCAAAACAUGGGCCAACCAGCACCUGUGCCUCACCUGGGAGCCCGCCAGAAACACAAGUUCUCGGGCCCCACCACAGCCCUACUGAUUCAGUAUCUGCAUUUCACCUAUAAUACCCCCAGUGGUUCCUAGUCAUGUCCAGGUUUGAAGAAGCACAGAUUCAUGAAGGAGACCAUCUCUUGGCAAAAAGCGGGCUGGUUUGGAGAGAUGCCAAUCAUCUCUCUCAAUUUCUCCUUCCCAGGACGCCACCGUAUAAUCCUGACAUGCUCACAAGGCUAAGAAAAAACCAAAGGGACCGGAAAACAAACAUCACGAUACUUUUGGGAGACCAAAAGAGAGCUGGAAGCAGGGAAGGGGGCGAGAGGGAAAAGGCCCAGGCAGAGGGCUGACAGCCCCCACACGGGCCCACCCUCAGCACAUCCCCGAAGCCUCGAGGUCCCUGGAGGAGGUGUGGGUGGGCGCCUUCCCGUGGCGACAUCCCUGAGUCAGGGCUUGUGGUCUGGGAGGAGAAGAGCUUCCACAAGCCAGGGGAGGGAGGCCAAGUCCUCACUCGAAAUAUAGACAGAAGGAUGCCUACCAGGGACUGCACGCCAGCUGGCCACGUGGGGGCCCCGCAUGCCCCGACGCUGCCCAAGUCCUCUUGGCAGAUCAACAUUCACUGCAAGUUCACAACGUCUUGGGAAUGCCCCCAAUGCACCAGCAAAUAAUUGCUGUUAAUAAAAGCUUAACACUUAGAAUGGGAGAGUUCUUGAUACAUGAAAGUGUGCCCUAGGGUUUCUCCUCCAUUCAGCUUCUAUUAAAGGCAUGAUUCCCAGAGAUCAUUUCAUUCAAGCCCAAGAUCUGGCAGCUGUAGGAACAGAAGCGAAACAGAUUUUCUGAAAGUAACUUCAAAUGUACAAUGUUGGGCUCAGAUAGAAGGAUUUAAUUUUUCUAAAACCCUGAGAAGGUUUAGUUAUAUUUUUUAAACACAUGUGUUUUGGAAAUACUUAAAUGGAAACCAUCCUACUCCUAAGUCUAUUUCAUACUAGAUGAUUAGAAGUCAUGUUUCUGGUAGGUAUUUUUACACUCUAGAAAUGCAGGACAAUUUCAUACUAAAUGAAAUACUUAGUUACGCAUAUUUGUCCUUCCCCAGAGCACUUUCAAGUUCUCAUUAUCAAGAGGAAGGGUGAACUUUAUAUUUGUUUUUCCGUCCAUAAAUCACGAUCUACAGUAAAGACAGGUCCCACUCGCACACCAUCUACUCUGCUGUGUCCAAGCCUCCUCUGUUCCUUAAAUGAAAAAGGCUGCUUUCCUUUCAAGUACAUAAUAAAUCUAUUUGUAAAUCCA
Molecule: long non-coding RNA, 7751 nt
Organism: Leopardus geoffroyi (Geoffroy's cat)
Lineage: Eukaryota; Metazoa; Chordata; Mammalia; Carnivora; Felidae
Exons: 2
Source: RefSeq, a predicted model, not a curated record